AGUUGCAGAACUGAUCCUGGAGUUCCAGAACUGAUCCAGGAGGUCCAGAGUUGAUCCAGAAUCAAUUCAGGUGGUUCAGAACAUCUUCAGGAGAUCCUGGAGGUCCAGAACUGAACCAGGAGGUCCAGAAUUGAGCCUGGAGGUCCAGAAUUGAUCCAGGAGGUCCAGAACCUCUCCAGGAGGUCCAGAGUUGAUCCAGAAUCAAUUCAGGUGGUUCAGAACAUCUUCAGGAGAUCCAGAAUCGAUCCUGGAGGUUCAAAACAUCUCCAGGAGGUCCAGAACUGAGCCAGGAGGUGCAGAAUUUGUCCAGAACUGAACCAGGAGAUUCAGAAUUGAUCCAGGAGGUCCAGAACUGAUCCAGAAUCAAUUCAGGUGGUUCAGAACAUCUUCAGGAGAUCCAGAAUCGAUCCUGGAGGUUCAGAACCUCUCCAGGAGGUCCAGAAUUGAUCCUGGAGGUUCAAAACAUCUCCAGGAGGUCCAGAACUGAGCCUGGAGAUCCAGAAUUUGUCCAGAACUGAGCCAGGAGGUCCAGAGUUGAUCCAGAAUCAAUCCAGGUAGUUCAGAACAUCUUCAGGAGGUCCAGAGUUGAUCCUGGAGGUUCAAAACGGAUCCAGGAGGUGCAGAACUGAUCCAGGAGAUCCAGAAUUGAUCCAGGAGGUGCAGAGUUGAUCCAGAAUCAAUGCAGGUGGUUCAGAACAUCUUCAGGAGAUCCAGAAUCGAUCCUGGAGGUUCAGAACAUCUCCAGGAGGUCCAGAAUUGAGCUGGGAGGUCCAGAACGGAUCCAGAAUCAAUUCAGGUGGUUCAGAACCUCAUCAGGAGAUCCUGGAGGUCAAGAAUUGAUCCAGGAGGUCCAGAGUUGAUCCUGGAGGUUCAAAACAUCUCCAGGAGGUCCAGAAUUGAUCCAGGAGGUGCAGAACUUAACCAAGAGGUCCAGAACGGAUCCAGGAGGUCCAGAAUUGAUCCAGGAGAUCCAGAAUUGAUCCAGGAGGUUCAAAACAUCUCCAGGAGGUGCAGGACUGAUCCAGGAGGUCCAGAACUGAGCCUGGAGGUCCAGAGUUGAUCCAGAACCAAUUCAGGUGGUUCAGAACCUCAUCAGGAGAUCCUGGAGGUCAAGAAUUGAUCCAGGAGGUCCUGAGUUGAUCCUGGAGGUUCAAAACAUCUCCAGGAGAUCCAGAACUGAGCCUGGAGGUCCAGAAUUGAGCCGGGAGGUUCAGAACCUCUCCAGGAGAUCCAGAAUUUGUCCAGAACUGAACCAGGAGAUUCAGAAUUGAUCCAGGAGGUCCAGAACUGAUCCAGGAUGUCCAGAGUUGAUCCAGAAUCAAUUCAGGUGGUUCAGAACAUCUUCAGGAGAUCCAGGAGGUCCAGAAUUUGUCCAGAACUGAUCCAGGAGGUCCAGAACUGAGCCAAGAGAUCCAGAAUUGAUCCAGGAGAUCCAGAACAGAUCCAGGAGGUCCAGAGUUGAUCCAGGAGGUCCAGAAUUGAUCCAGGAGGUUCGAAACGGAUCCAGGAGGUCCAGAACUGAUCCAGGAGGUGCAGAGUUGAUCCAGGAGGUUCAAAACAUCUCCAGGAGGUCCAGAACUGAUCCAGAAUCAAUUCAGGUGGUUCAGAACAUCUUCAGGAGACCCUGGAGGUCCAGAAUUUAUCCAGGAGGUUUAAAACAUCUCCAGGAGGUCCAGAAGUGAGCCGGGAGGUCCAGAAUGGAUCCAGGAGUUCCAGAAUUGAGCUGGGAGGUGCAGAGUUGAUCCAGAAUCAAUUCAGGUGGUUCAGAACUUCUUCAGGAGAUCCUGGAGGUGCAGAACUGAUCCUGGAGGUUCAGAACCUCUCCAGGAGUUCCAGAACUGAUCCUGGAGGUGCAGAAUUGAGCCGGGAGUCCAGAACUGAGCCAGGAGAUCCAGAAUUGAGCCGGGAGGUCCAGAGUUGAUCCAGAAUCAGUUCAGAUGGUUCAGAACAUCUUCAGGAGAUCCUGGAGGUCCAGAACUGAUCCAGGUGGUUCAGAACAUCUCCAGGAGUUCCAGAAUUGAGCCUGGAGGUGCAGAACUUAACCAAGAGGUCCAGAACUGAUCCAGGAGGUGCAGAAUUGAUCCAGGAGGUG
Molecule: non-coding RNA, 2092 nt
Organism: Zonotrichia albicollis (white-throated sparrow)
Lineage: Eukaryota; Metazoa; Chordata; Aves; Passeriformes; Passerellidae
Source: RefSeq, a predicted model, not a curated record